CACGUAGGCACCAAGCGUUGUCCGGAUUUAUUGGGCGUAAAGAGCUCGUAGGCGGUUCGGUAAGUCGGGUGUGAAAACUCUGGGCUCAACCCAGAGCCGCCACCCGAUACUGCUGUGACUUGAGUUCGGUAGGGGAGCGGGGAAUUCCUGGUGUAGCGGUGAAAUGCGCAGAUAUCAGGAGGAACACCAGUGGCGAAAGCACUCUGCUGGGCCGAAACUGACACUGAGAGACGAAAGCUAGGGGAGCGAAUGGG
This 254-nucleotide ribosomal RNA is filed under the name uncultured bacterium. RNAcentral's name for it is "partial 16S ribosomal RNA". It matches the Rfam family "Bacterial small subunit ribosomal RNA", at positions 524 to 776 of the family's 1533-position model. The record is from RNAcentral.